Molecule: ribosomal RNA, 465 nt
Filed under: uncultured bacterium
Lineage: Bacteria
Description: partial 16S ribosomal RNA
Rfam family: Bacterial small subunit ribosomal RNA
Source: RNAcentral
CCUACGGGAGGCUGCAGUAGGGAAUUUUCGUCAAUGGGCGCAAGCCUGAACGAGCGAUGCCGCGUGAGUGAAGAAGGCCUUCGGGUCGUAAAGCUCUGUUGCGGGGGAAAAAAGGCAGCAUCAGGAACUGGGUGCUGACUGAUGGUGCCCCGUCAGAAAGUCACGGCUAACUACGUGCCAGCAGCCGCGGUAAUACGUAGGUGGCGAGCGUUAUCCGGAAUGAUUGGGCGUAAAGGGUGGGCAGGAGGUACUGCACGUCUGGUGGGAAACGCAUGGGCUCAACCCAUGCAUGGAAUUGGAAACUGGAGGACUGGAGAGCAGGAGAGGGCGGUGGAAGUCCAUGUGUAGCGGUAAAAUGCGUAGAGAUAUGGAAGAACACCAGUGGCGAAGGCGGCCGCCUGGCCUGUUGCUGACGCUGAGGCACGAAAGCGUGGGGAGCAAAUAGGAUUAGAUACCCUUGUAGUC